Molecule: ribosomal RNA, 448 nt
Filed under: fungal sp.
Lineage: Eukaryota; Fungi
Description: SSU rRNA
Rfam family: Eukaryotic small subunit ribosomal RNA
Source: RNAcentral
UUAGUAAGUUACGGAUACAAUAGUGGUCGGUCGUCGCCGUCGGUACGUACUGACUUAUUGGUUUCUCCUUUCUGAAGAACCAUGAUGUCAUUUAUUUGGUGUCGUGGGGAAAUCAGGACUGUUACUUAGAAAAAAUUAGAGUGUUUAAAGCAGGCUCACGCUUGAAUACAUUAGCAUGGAAUAAUGAAAUAGGACGUUUGAUUCUAUUUUGUUGGUUUCUAGGAUCGACGUAAUGAUUAAUAGGGAUAGUUGGGGGCAUUAGUAUUCAAUUGUCAGAGGUGAAAUUCUUGGAUUUAUUGAAGACUAACUACUGCGAAAGCAUUUGCCAAGGAUGUUUUCAUUAAUCAAGAACGAAAGUUAGGGGAUCGAAGACGAUCAGAUACCGUCGUAGUCUUAACCAUAAACUAUGCCGACUAGGGAUCGGAUGAUGUUAAUUUUUUAAUGACUC